AUUUCCGGCGGGGCCUCCCAGCUGGAAGAGGCGGUGGCGGCGGGUCGGGGUGAGGGUCUUGCUCUGUUGCCUGGACUGGAGUGCAGUGCCACGAUCUUGGCUCACUGCAGCGUUGACCUCCUGGGCUCAAGCAGUCCUCCCACCCCAGCCUCUGAGUCGCUGGGACUACAAGUGCAUGCUGCCACACCAGGAGCUUCCCAGCAGGUAGCGUGUCCCUGUGGACCCUCAACCCAAACAGGCCUUUCCCUGCAUUCUCUGGUGUUUGUGGGCUGGAGUCCCUGGCAGGAGGACUGGGCAGAGAGAUCCCAGAGUCCAAGAAAGGAGAGGUGACUUUAGGCUGAGGGGAUCUGGCGGUGGAGCGCUAGGAUCAGACGCCCCCGCAAUGACCAGCUCCCCCGUCUCCAGAGUCGUGUACAACGGCAAGAGGACCAGCAGCCCCCGCUCCCCACCCAGCAGCAGCGAGAUCUUCACCCCAGCCCACGAGGAGAACGUCCGCUUCAUUUACGAAGCCUGGCAGGGCGUGGAGCGAGACCUGCGAAGCCAGGUGCCGGGCGGCGAGCGGGGUCUGGUGGAGGAGUAUGUGGAGAAGGUCCCUAACCCCAGCCUGAAGACCUUCAAGCCCAUCGACCUGAGUGACCUGAAGCGCCGGAGCACGCAGGAUGCCAAGAAGUCCUAGAGCGCCCAGCGCCCCUCCCCGGCCUCUGGAAGAUCAGGGUGCGAGGUGUCGGCUCCCUCCUGUCCUGUGGCCCUGCUCCUGGGAUGGGGGUGUCUUGCUCCAGCGGGCUGCAGACCGCAGCACCGGUGUGACUGACGGCUGAGGCCUCUCUCUCCUUCCCAAGUCCCCUCCUUCCUCCUUGGGGGUCUCAGGCUGCCCCCAUCAUGGGGGUCUGGGCCCUCCCCACCCUCCUGCCCUCCCCCAGCCACCUGGCUGUGUUUUUGAAGCUGCCUGGCCCCCAGGGACCCUGGCCUGCCCUCUUUCCUCUCCCCUCACCCUCCUGUCCUUGGCCACUGCAGAAUCAGGAGGGGAGCAGAAGGAGCCUCUGCUGCCCCCCAGGCUGCUGGGACUGGGCUGGUUUUGUCCUUGAAAUGGCCAGGAUACAGGACAAGGGCAGCCCCACCCCAUCCAACUUGGGACCCCCCCACAGACCCUUGCUGCUCCUGUGGCCUGGACACGCUGGGGAGCUUCUCACACCUACCCCUACUGUCCAGCCUGGCCCGUUCCCUGAAUCAGCUUCAAGAUGGCACCAGCUCUUUGGGCCUAGGAUACUGCCGGGCCCCCCAAAGGGGGUCCCCAGCAGCCAGGCCUGGCCUCCUGGUAUCUGUGGUCAUAGUGGCCCAUGGGUAGGGGCACCCAGGCUGACCCUGAGGUGCUGCUGCUGGGUCUGUCUUGGCUCUGGGGUAUGCUGGGAGGGUCACCAGGUCCCUUUUUCUUCCUGUGCCCUCUGAAAGCCAAGUGUCUGUGUGGCUGUGGAGCUCCAGGGUCUGUUAAUAAAGGCAGCGGCACUGG
RNAcentral lists this long non-coding RNA (1507 nucleotides) under Macaca mulatta (Rhesus monkey). RNAcentral's name for it is "lncRNA (ENSMMUG00000000258.4)". The record is from RNAcentral. Lineage: Eukaryota; Metazoa; Chordata; Mammalia; Primates; Cercopithecidae.